UCUUCGCUAGUAUAUCGGUUAGUAUAAUCGCCUCUCAUUACGUAAGAGAGAUUGCCCUCGGGUGUUCGCGAUAGAGCAGGGUUCGACUCCCUGGCGGAGAA
Molecule: non-coding RNA, 101 nt
Organism: Trichosporon asahii var. asahii CBS 2479
Lineage: Eukaryota; Fungi; Basidiomycota; Tremellomycetes; Trichosporonales; Trichosporonaceae
Source: the annotation of a RefSeq genome assembly